RNAcentral lists this small RNA (193 nucleotides) under Fonsecaea pedrosoi CBS 271.37. RNAcentral's name for it is "A. fumigatus sRNA Afu_182". It matches the Rfam family "A. fumigatus sRNA Afu_182". The record is from Rfam by way of RNAcentral. Lineage: Eukaryota; Fungi; Ascomycota; Eurotiomycetes; Chaetothyriales; Herpotrichiellaceae.
UCAUGAACAACGCAAAAUAUCAACGUUCCUUCAAAAAGCAUUCCUACGAGGUUACUACUUCCAAGCGGUGAUCCAUGAUGUACGGAAAUCGUCUAUUGGAAUGGAGAUCAAUACAACUGUAGUCGAUCUUGGGUGCAGUGCCAGUCUCCCUCUUUUGAGGUUGUGAUUGGGACUGCAAUGAUUGACCACACAU